This 489-nucleotide ribosomal RNA is filed under the name uncultured Pichia. RNAcentral's name for it is "eukaryotic LSU rRNA". It matches the Rfam family "Eukaryotic large subunit ribosomal RNA", at positions 64 to 565 of the family's 3401-position model. The record is from RNAcentral. Lineage: Eukaryota; Fungi; Ascomycota; Saccharomycetes; Saccharomycetales; Saccharomycetaceae.
ACCAACAGGAUUGCCUCAGUAGCGGCGAGUGAAGCGGCAAGAGCUCAGAUUUGAAAUCGUGCUUUGCGGCACGAGUUGUAGAUUGCAGGUUGGAGUCUGUGUGGAAGGCGGUGUCCAAGUCCCUUGGAACAGGGCGCCCAGGAGGGUGAGAGCCCCGUGGGAUGCCGGCGGAAGCAGUGAGGCCCUUCUGACGAGUCGAGUUGUUUGGGAAUGCAGCUCCAAGCGGGUGGUAAAUUCCAUCUAAGGCUAAAUACUGGCGAGAGACCGAUAGCGAACAAGUACUGUGAAGGAAAGAUGAAAAGCACUUUGAAAAGAGAGUGAAACAGCACGUGAAAUUGUUGAAAGGGAAGGGUAUUGCGCCCGACAUGGGGAUUGCGCACCGCUGCCUCUCGUGGGCGGCGCUCUGGGCUUUCCCUGGGCCAGCAUCGGUUCUUGCUGCAGGAGAAGGGGUUUCUGGAACGUGGCUCUUCGGAGUGUUAUAGCCAGGGG